ACAAGGAGCUAUCAUCAGCCCAUCAAACAUGAGAAAGCUCUCUCUCUCUCUCUCUCUCUCUAGAGGACGAAGGAGGUAAAGAAAGACUCCACUGGAGGAAGAAGAAAGCCAAGAACGAGCCGCAGGAGAAGUGUAGAUGCUGGGAAGAGGAGAAAUACACAGAUGGAUCCAAAUGGAGGUUUCUGGAGCACAAAGGGCCCGUGUUUCCCCCACCAUAUGAACCCCUGCCAAACUGUAUCAGGUUUUAUUAUGAUGGAAAGGCCAUCAAGCUGAGCCCUGCAGCAGAGGAAGUGGCCACGUUUUAUGCUAAAAUUAUUGCAGUAACAAUUACUACAUUAAGAGUACUUUUGAAGUGUCAGUAAUUUAUCCAAGUGUUUUUCUUUAGGAAACUUUAAUGCAUAAUAUUGUACU
Molecule: long non-coding RNA, 411 nt
Organism: Carassius gibelio (silver crucian carp)
Lineage: Eukaryota; Metazoa; Chordata; Actinopteri; Cypriniformes; Cyprinidae
Exons: 3
Source: RefSeq, a predicted model, not a curated record